GGAGAGAUACCCAAGAGGCUGAAGGGGGCGGUUUGCUAAAUCGUUAGUAGGGGUUUCCCCUAGCGAGGGUUCGAAUCCCUCUCUCUCCGCCA
RNAcentral lists this transfer RNA (92 nucleotides) under Bacillota bacterium. Its description in RNAcentral is "tRNA-Ser". It matches the Rfam family "tRNA". From Rfam's summary of the family: Transfer RNA (tRNA) molecules are approximately 80 nucleotides in length. RNAcentral also lists the same sequence under 1 other name. Lineage: Bacteria; Bacillati; Bacillota. The record is from RNAcentral.